This 74-nucleotide transfer RNA is filed under the name Raineyella antarctica. It matches the Rfam family "tRNA". Rfam says of the family: Transfer RNA (tRNA) molecules are approximately 80 nucleotides in length. Lineage: Bacteria; Bacillati; Actinomycetota; Actinomycetes; Propionibacteriales; Propionibacteriaceae. The record is from Rfam by way of RNAcentral. RNAcentral also lists the same sequence under 8 other names.
CGCGGGGUGGAGCAGCUCGGUAGCUCGCUGGGCUCAUAACCCAGAGGUCGCAGGUUCAAAUCCUGCCCCCGCCA